UACGAACUGUGCGAACGUUAUUCGGAAUCACUGGGCUUAAAGGGUGCGUAGGCGGCCGUUCAAGUAGGGUGUGAAAUGCCUCGGCUCAACCGAGGCACUGCGCUCUAAACUGUCCGGCUGGAGUGAGAUAGGGGCGUGCGGAACUUCCGGUGGAGCGGUGAAAUGUGUUGAUAUCGGAAGGAACACCGGUGGCGAAAGCGGCACGCUGGGUCUCGACUGACGCUGAGGCACGAAAGCCAGGGUAGCGAAC
Molecule: ribosomal RNA, 250 nt
Filed under: uncultured bacterium
Lineage: Bacteria
Description: partial 16S ribosomal RNA
Rfam family: Bacterial small subunit ribosomal RNA
Source: RNAcentral